CCCUCCUCUUCUCUGUUCAUGUAAUUUGAUCGAUUGAUUGUUAUAUUUUCUUGGAUUUUGAUUAUAUUUGAUUGAGUGAUUGUUAUAUUUUCUCGGAAUUUGAACGAGUUAUUGUGAACAUUAGGUUUUGAUACGGAGUAUUUUUAUUGUUGGGUUGAUUGUUUUGUUUUGUUUUGUGUUUUUUUGUUUUGUUGCAAGCAGAGAAAUUGAGCAUUGAAGUUAACUUGGUAGUUUAGUCUGAGGUUAAUUAACCCUACGGCGAUGGUUAUUUCUGUAUCCAAAGCACCUUAUUAAUUGGUUAUUUGUUUAUUUGAUUUAUGAUGAAUGAAGUGUGUGAACUUUGAGUUUGAUGUAACAUUGUUGCAAUGGCGAUUCAAUACCGGAAAAAAAAUCUAUGAGUUUUAUCGAAUUUGCUUCACUCGAGCAGUCGAUCUUGCCUUGUUCUUCUAAAUUGCUCAUGUCUAUAAUUGCUUGUUGGAGUGUGGGUUCUAUGGGGGGAAAAUUAUUUUGACCGUGUUUUUCUAAGUUGCUCAUAGGGGCCUGCUUGAAGGUGAAGCCAAUCAAGCCAUCUUUAUUUACAGUAUAGUAGUAGACUUUAAAAAGUUUAUAGAAUACGUUUGUAGAUGAGUUGAGUUUUGGGGGUUUAUACAAUUUUGUAUCUGCUAAUUGGUUUAGCUGGGUUGGAAGUCUUUGCACUCGGGUGAUAGUGUGAUACGUAUUUCCCUAUUGGGUGAUGGGAUGGGGGAGACGAGAUCACAAGAGUGUAAGUUGCUGAAUAAAAUGACAUUCAUAUAUAUUCGUCAGUCUUUCCGAAAGGAUAUGAAGUCUUGUUCCAAUUGCUUACUCUAACAGAGGUUUAGUUUUUCUAGUUUUGUAUUUGUGUUAGUUGGUUCAUUACUGUUUCUUACGACAGACUUACUGAAAGGGUGUGAAGUCUGUUUCUUACUACUGAAUAACUCGUGUGCAGCUGAACAAAUUGAUUAAGGAAUAAUAUUAAAUAAAUAAAAGUUAGAAAUUAACAGGGAUUGUGGCCACAGGGAUCUUGCAGCUUUCUAUGAGUUUCUGGAUGUGUGUGCUUAAUUUCUCUUGGAUGUUUAUAGGCAUAGUUUUCUCCAUGUGUUGUGUUGGGCCAAAGUUCAGUGCUUUCAAGGAAUUUGUUUUAGUGAUUAUAUUUGCAGAUGGUCUAUUUGAUCUCUAAAUGAGUAAUAUAAGGUUGGGUAUUGAUCAUCAUAGGUUUUCUUAGCUUUGGACUGGAAAUUUACUGCAGCUCUUGCUGAUGCUGUCUGGUCUUAAUUAAAAUUGCUGAUCUUGUAAGAUGGACUUCAAAUUAUCGAGAAAGGUUAUUUUUUACAGGUCAUAAUCUAAAUCUUUAGAGGUCCAUCUUUUUGUUUGGAGUACUGUGAAGUCAUUUACUCAUUAGGUUUAAGAGGGUUACACAGCUUUGUGUCCAUCGAGUUUGGCAUCUUCUAGUUGUAGGAAAAUUGUCAAAUGACUCAAAUCCUAUUUCUUAGUUGUAUUUGCAUCGUGCUGUUACUCAUCCAUUCAACUGAAAGACUUGCAUCCCUUGCUGCUUUCUCUAUCUUUUCUAUAGUUUCAGUGAUUGUGUAUUUUGAUCCCAGCAUUAUCAUGUUGUUCUUGUUGUCCUGUUUUUCAAGAUACCAAUUAAUCUAAUGAGUGCAGUUCUUAUUAGUAAAAUUUACUACUUUAUUUGAGAAAAUCACUAGAGAAUCCUCAUUAAUUAGAUUUAAGGGGCAAAAUAUAUUUUGGUUUCAUGUUUGUAGACUUGCCUGCUCUUCAAAUAGGGUUGACAAAUCAAGGUCUCUAGAUAUUGCGACCAGUUGGAAGGCAUUGAUAAAUCCUUGAGUUUCAGGGACAAUUUCUUCUUCUGAACUUUCCUAAAAAAAGGCUUGGCAAUUAGUUAGCAUGUUCAUCUUUGAACAGCACGUGUUUCUUGUAUAGGUUUAGUCAUUACCUUUUCAGGCUCAAAAACUGCUCGAACGUCAUCUGUGUAGCUCUUUCUUUGAAAGUAAAUUCCUGCAGCAGGCUUAUAAUCUCUCUGAAACCACUCAUCUUCAACAAAUUCUGCUACUGUAAUUCUCUGCAGAAAACAGAAGUCGAGGAUGGUUAGAUCAAUCUGUUGUUUUUAAGUGAUCCUAUACUUUUAUAUGAAUUUAAAUCGUAUACCUUUUUUGAAUGGGGAUUCAAUAAUCUGCCAAUAAGUAGAUGAAGAGUUCUUUUGUAUGAUAAAAAGUGUUUUACUGUUUAUUUUGUUAGGGAAAAUACCUUUGUGUACAAAUUCAAUAGAUUUGGGUCAAUGAAUGGUAGUUAACCAGCACACAACUCAAAUAAGAUCACUCCACAAGCCCAGACAUCUGCAACUACUCCGUCGUGCUACAUAACUUGGAGAACCACAUGCUGUCAACAACAAACUUCCAGGUUGUAGGCAUCAGUUCAGAAAUUACAGGUUUUCUGGCUGCAUUGUAAAUGAAACAUGUCAAUUGGGUCAGUCAGCUGGUUUGAGUUCUUAUUUGGAUCGGGCAAUCUAGUGGAGUUCAGAGUUCAGUAUAGUUACAUCUUUCAGCUAUUUACAAUACCUUUAAAUCGAUGUGAUACACUCCUCUGGAAUGGCAGUAGUCUACUGCCGGAAGUAUUUUGUUGCAUCACUUUACUUCUCCAAGUAAGUCUUUACAUUCGAGUAUAGAGUCACAUAAACUAGAACCUUCGAACUUCCAAGAAACAAUAUAUGAUCAAGUUAUAGUUAUCUAGUGUUCUUACCAAUUUGUCAGAGAGUUGCGGUCCUACUGCAUAUUCCAUGACUAUGUAAAUCUUUGUGUUUGAGCCGAUAACCUAUAAGUUGGCAAGUUAAAGACUUCAUUCUUUCACCUAAAAACAUACAGACCAAGUUUGUGUACUGAAAUAAGAGCACUUGCCUCGUGUAUCCUUACAUUGUCCAGAUGAUUCAACAACUUCAUCUUUCUGAUUUCUCUCUGCACCUGUUCUAGCAAACAUAUAUAUAUUAUGGUGAACUACCUAAGUAUGACGUGAUUUUCAAAAGGUAACUAACGCAUCAUAUUCACGUUCCUUUUGAAAAUAUCUUAGUUGGCUGGAAUCUAGUCAUGUGAAUUGCAGCACAAAGAGAUUUCCUAGGAAUAGGAAUCUUAACUUAUAAAGUUAGAGAUGUUAAAGACUGGACAUGGUAUCUAAACAUAUAGCGGAACAGUUUCUCAUUAGUUCACUUUGUGUCAUUUGUUUCUUGUUAUAUUUUAGAAUACAGUCAAGACGUGGUUGGAUUUUCCAUAUUGUAUACAGGUCCUCCCUUGUCGAGUUGUCUGUACCCAGGUAAGGCCUUUGGUAUUUGUUGUGCGAUAUAUGGAGUAGUUUGAAUGAAACUGUUGUCUGGUUCCAGAGGUAUAUGUGGUUAAGUGUUCGUUAAUUGUUGGUAUUUCUUUUAUUAUAUGUGGUUAAGUGUCCUCGUUCUCAACAAGUUGGGCUAGUUGAGUCCUGCUAUUAUGUCAUGAAGUAUAUGGAUCAAAUAGUAACGCUUGUAUCGAAAAAGGAACGUGAUUUUCAAAAGGUAAUUAACGUAUCAAAUUUUUUUAUCUUUAAAUUUGCACUUGCUUAAUUGUUUGAGUGUACUUGCAUCGAUUCUAAUAUAUCUAUGCAUUUGGUUUUGUGCAUGUAGCAUUUCACUCUGGAGGCUAUACUCAAGAAAUUAUCGAUGAUGUUCGUGAAAGAUCGUGUAGAUUUUUCAUUGAUAAUUGUUUAUAGUUAAUUAAUUUCAGUUUCACACUUAGUUGACAUAAACUUCUCAAAUUCGUGUCCAGGAUUUUCUAAUAUGUAAAAAUACAAAAGUAUUAUGUAUAACUUUUAUCAAUUUUUGAGGCGACACCUUAGAGUCC
Spinacia oleracea (spinach) is the source of this 3899-nucleotide RNA transcript. RefSeq lists it as uncharacterized. Lineage: Eukaryota; Viridiplantae; Streptophyta; Magnoliopsida; Caryophyllales; Amaranthaceae. The record is from RefSeq and is a predicted model, not a curated record. The transcript is spliced from 3 exons.